This 465-nucleotide ribosomal RNA is filed under the name uncultured bacterium. RNAcentral describes it as "partial 16S ribosomal RNA". It matches the Rfam family "Bacterial small subunit ribosomal RNA", at positions 28 to 507 of the family's 1533-position model. The record is from RNAcentral.
GACGAACGCUGGCGGCGUGCUUAACACAUGCAAGUCGUACGGUAAGGCCCUUUCGGUGGUACACGAGUGGCGCACGGGUGAGUAACACGUGAGUAACCUGCCCACAACUUUGGGAUAACGCUAGGAAACUGGUGCUAAUACUGGAUAUGUGCUCCUGCUUCAUGGUGGGGGUUGGAAAGCUCCGGCGGUUGUGGAUGGACUCGCGGCCUAUCAGCUUGUUGGUGGGGUAGUGGCCUACCAAGGCGGCGACGGGUAGCCGGCCUGAGAGGGUGACCGGCCACAUUGGGACUGAGAUACGGCCCAGACUCCUACGGGAGGCAGCAGUGGGGAAUAUUGCACAAGGGGCGCAAGCCUGAUGCAGCAACGCCGCGUGCGGGAUGACGGCCUUAGGGUUGAAAACCGCUUUCAGCAGGGACGAAGCUUUUUGUGACGGUACCUGCAGAAGAAGCACCGGCUAACUACGUG